AAAAUAGAGCGCUAGGGUUCCGAUUGUCCGCUUCGCAGGCAUCGACAAUGACUGGUCCGAGAGCACUCAACCUUCUGGUUGGUAUCCCCGUUGAUGCCCCCGGCGGAAGGUCACACGGCGGGAUAAAAGCCCGGGAGAU
This 139-nucleotide small RNA is filed under the name Marinospirillum alkaliphilum. Its description in RNAcentral is "Guanidine-I sequence". It matches the Rfam family "Guanidine-I riboswitch aptamer". From Rfam's summary of the family: This family represents a conserved RNA structure found upstream of the ykkC and yxkD genes in Bacillus subtilis and related genes in other bacteria. The function of this family is unclear although it has been suggested that it may function to switch on efflux pumps and detoxification systems in response to harmful environmental molecules. RNAcentral also lists the same sequence under 1 other name. The record is from RNAcentral. Lineage: Bacteria; Pseudomonadati; Pseudomonadota; Gammaproteobacteria; Oceanospirillales; Oceanospirillaceae.